RNAcentral lists this ribosomal RNA (599 nucleotides) under Pseudoalteromonas arabiensis. RNAcentral's name for it is "bacterial SSU rRNA". It matches the Rfam family "Bacterial small subunit ribosomal RNA", at positions 94 to 689 of the family's 1533-position model. The record is from RNAcentral. Lineage: Bacteria; Pseudomonadati; Pseudomonadota; Gammaproteobacteria; Alteromonadales; Pseudoalteromonadaceae.
AGCGGCGGACGGGUGAGUAAUGCUUGGGAAUGUGCCUUAUGGUGGGGGACAACAGUUGGAAACGACUGCUAAUACCGCAUAAUGUCUUCGGACCAAAGUGGGGGACCUUCGGGCCUCACGCCAUAAGAUCAGCCCAAGUGGGAUUAGCUAGUUGGUAAGGUAAUGGCUUACCAAGGCGACGAUCCCUAGCUGGUUUGAGAGGAUGAUCAGCCACACUGGGACUGAGACACGGCCCAGACUCCUACGGGAGGCAGCAGUGGGGAAUAUUGCACAAUGGGCGCAAGCCUGAUGCAGCCAUGCCGCGUGUGUGAAGAAGGCCUUCGGGUUGUAAAGCACUUUCAGUAAGGAGGAAAGGUUAAGUGUUAAUAGCACUUAGCUGUGACGUUACUUACAGAAGAAGCACCGGCUAACUCCGUGCCAGCAGCCGCGGUAAUACGGAGGGUGCGAGCGUUAAUCGGAAUUACUGGGCGUAAAGCGUACGCAGGCGGUUUGUUAAGCGAGAUGUGAAAGCCCCGGGCUCAACCUGGGAACUGCAUUUCGAACUGGCAAACUAGAGUGUGAUAGAGGGUGGUAGAAUUUCAGGUGUAGCGGUGAAAUGC